GAAAUGCGAUAAGUAAUGUGAAUCGCAGAAUUCAGUGAAUCAUCAAAUCUUUGAACGCACAUUGCACCCUCUGGAUUCCAGGGGGUAUGCCUGUCCGAGCGUCGUCACAAAAGAUCCCUCGAGAUUCCCAGGAGCUCGACGGACGUUGGGUGUGGCCCCGAUCACUGGGGCCCUCCCAAAAGCCAGUGGCGGCGGUGGCCCGGCCCCGAGCGCAGUAGACUUCUCUCGCCCGGGGGCCUGGGCGGCGUGCCGGCCAGCAAGACUUUAGCCACACCAAAGGUUGACCUCGGAUCAGGUAGGAGCACCCGCUGAACUUAA
RNAcentral lists this ribosomal RNA (318 nucleotides) under Leotia lubrica. RNAcentral's name for it is "eukaryotic LSU rRNA". The stretch from base 1 to 104 matches the Rfam family "5.8S ribosomal RNA", at positions 50 to 154 of the family's 154-position model. Lineage: Eukaryota; Fungi; Ascomycota; Leotiomycetes; Leotiales; Leotiaceae. The record is from RNAcentral.